CGAGAAAGCCCGCAAGGGUGAGUAAAGCGGCGCACGGGUGCGUAACACGUGGGUAAUCUGCCCUAGAGUCCGGAAUAACUCGCCGAAAGGCGUGCUAAUGCCGGAUGAGACCACGGGAGCCUCGGCUCCUGCGGGAAAAGGUGGCCUCUGUAUACAAGCUAUCGCUCUAGGAUGAGCCCGCGGCCCAUCAGCUAGUUGGCGGGGUAAUGGCCCACCAAGGCUACGACGGGUAGCUGGUCUGAGAGGACGAUCAGCCACACUGGAACUGAGACACGGUCCAGACUCCUACGGGAGGCAGCAGUGGGGAAUCUUGCGCAAUGGGCGAAAGCCUGACGCAGCAACGCCGCGUGUGUGAUGAAGGUCUUCGGAUCGUAAAGCACUGUCGCGAGGGACG
RNAcentral lists this ribosomal RNA (394 nucleotides) under uncultured Anaeromyxobacter sp. Its description in RNAcentral is "bacterial SSU rRNA". It matches the Rfam family "Bacterial small subunit ribosomal RNA", at positions 67 to 447 of the family's 1533-position model. The record is from RNAcentral. Lineage: Bacteria; Pseudomonadati; Myxococcota; Myxococcia; Myxococcales; Anaeromyxobacteraceae.